This is a long non-coding RNA of Herpailurus yagouaroundi (jaguarundi), 1896 nucleotides long. RefSeq lists it as uncharacterized. NCBI's taxonomy places the organism in Eukaryota, Metazoa, Chordata, Mammalia, Carnivora, Felidae. The record is from RefSeq and is a predicted model, not a curated record. The transcript has 3 exons.
CAGAUAUAUGAUAAUCCUUGGAAAGAAGAUAUGCAGAUUUUUUUCCUGUUCUAUGGGUUAUCUUUUUACUUUCUUGAUAGUAUCCUUUUGAAGCACAAAAGCUUUUAGUGUUGAUAAAGUCCAGCGUACCUAUUUUUCAUUGUUUACUUAUUUGUUGGCUGUCAUAUAAGAAACCAUUGCCUGAUCCAAAGAUUUAUACCUGUUUCCUUCUAAGAGUUACUUUUAGGUCUUUGAUCCAUUUUGAGUUCAUUUUUUAUAUGGUGUGAGGUAGGGGUCCAACUUUCUUCUUUUGCAUGGGACUGUUCGCUUAUCCCAGCACCAUUUGUUGAAAAGACUAUUCUUUCCCCACUGAAAUGUCUUGGGCUGCAAAUCAGCUGCCCAUAAAUGUAUGGGUUGUUCGCCAAUGUUUGACUAGCAUGUCUUGAAAUGUUGUUUGGGUUUAUGAUGUAGAUAAGAGCACACAGCUCAGCCAGAAGACAUUAAGGUAGAAACUUGAGUUCUAAAAUCCUUAUGGAAAUGAGCCCACAUUAAGGGGAGUUUGGCACGUCUUCUGACCCAGUGUAAACCAUUAGGGCAGAUAUGGGCAAUCUCUUGGGCCCCGGGUAGCUUUGUUGUUGUAGGAAUCUGUAUUCGCCCGUGACAUACUCUAUCGGUUCAUAAACAAAGGAGGAGACAGCAAAUAGUUCUAGUUCAGAAACAGAAUGUGGAUUCUCAGAAGCCUCAGGAGAAGGGGAGCAGCCACUAGCCAGUGCACAUUUUAGAAGGCCCAGAGUAGUUUUCAUGUGCGUGCGUGUGUGUGUGCGUAUGUAAAGACAGUAACACUGGCUCCCCGUAGUCCCUGAAGCACCACUGAAGGGCAGGAAGAGGCAGUACCAUUGGAAGAGUGAGCAGGUGCACACCCCAUGUAUACUUGCGUGCACACUCCUGCACCCCGUGUACACUGAUCUCCGGCAGCAGGUCCUGGGAACAGGAGGCAUCUGGGACCCCACAUACGGCCCAGCUCUGGUGGACCAGCGCUUGCACCGGAGAUCCCGGGCCCCGCAGUUCCCUUGGCCGCCCACUCUACCUCAGUCCCAGCUGGGGAGAAACUUUGUGAGGUGUGUCAGAGGAAGGCUUGUGUGGUAUUGUCGGAAUUCAGCAAAGCCCAGGUAAACUCUGUGCCAACCAACGGACUGAGCGGACUGAGUGGAGAAAUGGAGAUUCCCACGGGGCGGGCCUCACUCCCCCUCCCCGGCCUGGAGGCCAGCAUCCCUUUUGAUGUGCCCGCAGAGCCCCUCCCGCCCCAAGCAUCCUCUGGGACUCAAGAUGGGGACCGCAAGCAGGAGCCGCCUCCCCAGGCACCUGGCACCCUGGGCUUGCUGCAGUUGGGCACUGCCAAAGCUGUCCCCUCGGUGAGCAUUUUAGACCAGAGGCCUUCCAGUCCCGUGGGAGAGGCGGCGGCCAGAGCAUUCAGCCCGGGGAACGGCCAGCAGAAGUCUGUGGAGGAUGACGGAGCUGCACGGAGCCUUGGGGUGUCCUCACCCACCAGCCCGAUUUGCUAUUCCGGACAUUUCACAGAAAUGGAAUCAUGUAAUAUGCAGCCUUUGGUGACUGGCUUCUUCCAAUUAACAUACUGUUUUCGGGAUUCAUCGUUGUUGGAGCCUGAUCUGUGCUUCAGGGAGUAAUAAUUCAUUGUAGAUUCCUUUGUAUGAACCCGUCACAUUUUAUUUUGUCCUUCAUCAGUUGAUAGACUUUUGUUUUUUUCCCCCCAUUUUUUUGGCUAAUAUAAAUAACACAGCCAUGAACAUUCAUGUACAAGUUUUUGUGUGGGUAUAUUUUUGAUUGUCUUGGAUGUAUACCCAGCAGCAAAAUCUCUGGGUCACAUGGUAACUCUAUAUUUAACUUUCUGAGGAACUA